ACCUGACGGAGCAAUACCGCGUGAGGGAUGACAGCCUUUGGUUGUAAACCUCUUUUAUCAAGGAGGAAGUUCUGACGUGUACUUGAUGAAUAAGCAUCGGCUAACUCCGUGCCAGCAGCCGCGGUAAGACGGAGGAUGCAAGUGUUAUCCGGAAUCACUGGGCGUAAAGCGUCUGUAGGUGGUUUAAAAAGUCUGCUGUUAAAAAUUGAAGCUUAACUUCAAAGAUGCCGUAGAAACUUUAAACUUGAGUAUGGUAGGGGUAGAGGGAAUUUCCAGUGGAGCGGUGAAAUGCGUAGAUCUUGGAAAGACCACCAAUGGCGAAGGCACUCUACUGGGCCAUUACUGACACUGAGAGACGAAAGCUAGGGGAGCAAAUGGGAUUAGAUACCCCAGUAGUCCUAGCUGUAAACGAUGGAUACCAGAUGUUGUGUGUAUUGACCCAUGCAGUGUCGUAGCUAACGCGUUAAGUAUCCCGCCUGGGAAGUAUGCUCGCAAGAGUG
This 500-nucleotide ribosomal RNA is filed under the name uncultured cyanobacterium. RNAcentral describes it as "bacterial SSU rRNA". It matches the Rfam family "Bacterial small subunit ribosomal RNA", at positions 381 to 896 of the family's 1533-position model. The record is from RNAcentral. Lineage: Bacteria; Bacillati; Cyanobacteriota.